CGUAACGGGGCUAAGCAUAAUACCGAAGCCAUGGGAUUGAUAUGGAGACAUAUUGAUCGGUAGGGGAGCGUUCUGUGAGCGGAGAAGGCACACUGAGAAGAGUGUUGGAGCGAGCAGAAGUGAGAAUGCAGGCAUGAGUAGCGCAAAACAUGUGAGAACCAUGUUCGUUGAAAAUCCAAGGUUUCCGACGUCAAGUCAAUCUGCGUCGGGUUAGUCGGGGCCUAAGGCGAGGCCGAGAGGCGUAGUCGAUGGACAACUGGUAAAAAAUCCAGUACCGAUUGUGGAGAGUGAAGGGGGGACACAACGAGGGAAUCCGGCCUGUUAGUGAAUUCAGGUGGAUGAACGUCAGGCGAAGAGACCGGGAAAGAAAAAGCCCGGACGAGCUGAGGGAAAUCAGGAGGCGCAAGCCAGAACCUGGAGGGACCUUGUUGGCGAGAAAAGCCUCUAAGCGAAGAGACACAAUUGCCCGUACCGGAAACCGACACUGGUGGAUAAGUAGAAGAUACAAAAACGAACGGGAGAACUAUCGUUAAGGAACUAGGCAAAAAGGCCCCGUAACUUAGGGAGAAGGGGUGCUCACGGAACUGAAAGGUAAAGUGAGUUGCAGUGAAAGGGCUCUAGUGACUGGUUAUCAAAACCACAGGUCUCUGCGAAGUUGAAAGACGAAGUAUAGGGGCUGACGCCUGCCCAGUGCCGGAAGGUUAAGGGGAGAGGUUAGACGGAAGUCGAAGCUUUGAACUGAAGCCCCGGUGAACGGCGGCCGUAACUAUAACGGUCCUAAGGUAGCGAAAUUCCUUGUCGGGCAAGUUCCGACCCGCACGAACGGCGUAACAACUAGAGCACUGUCUCAACGAUAGACCCGGUGAAAUUGAAAUGGCUGUGAAGAUGCGGCCUACCCGCAGCAGGACAAAAAGACCCCGUGGAGCUUUACUGUAACCUGGCAUUGAGUUUAGGUAUUAUCUGUGUAGGAUAGGUGGGAGACUGAGAGAUCAGGGCGCAAGCCUUGGUGGAGUCGACGGUGAAAUACCACCCUGAUGAUAUUUGGGCUCUAACCUUAAUCCAAGAACUGGAGAAGGGACCGUGUCAGGCGGGCAGUUUGACUGGGGCGGUCGCCUCCAAAAGGGUAACGGAGGCGCCCAAAGGUUCCCUCAGACAGAAUGGAAACCUGUCAGAGAGUGUAAAGGCAGAAGGGAGCUUGACUGUAAGACCAACGCGUCGAACAGAUACGAAAGUAGGGCUUAGUGAUCCCACGGUACAGAGUGGAAUGGCCGUGGCUUACCGGAUAAAAGCUACCCCGGGGAUAACAGGCUGGUGAAGUCCAAGAGUUCACAUCGACGACUUCGCUCGGCACCUCGAUGUCGGCUCAUCGCAUCCUGGGGCUGUACAAGGUCCAAGGGUCCGGCUGUUCGCCGGUUAAAGCGGUACGCGAGCUGGGUUCAGACCGUCGUGAGACAGGUCGGUCUCUAUCCGCUGUGGGCGAAAGAGAAUUGAGAAGAGCUGCCCCU
This 1505-nucleotide ribosomal RNA is filed under the name metagenome. RNAcentral's name for it is "bacterial LSU rRNA". It matches the Rfam family "Bacterial large subunit ribosomal RNA", at positions 1171 to 2679 of the family's 2925-position model. The record is from RNAcentral.